GAUGAACGCUGGCGGCGUGCCUAAUACAUGCAAGUCGAGCGAAUGGAUUAAGAGCUUGCUCUUAUGAAGUUAGCGGCGGACGGGUGAGUAACACGUGGGUAACCUGCCCAUAAGACUGGGAUAACUCCGGGAAACCGGGGCUAAUACCGGAUAACAUUUUGAACCGCAUGGUUCGAAAUUGAAAGGCGGCUUCGGCUGUCACUUAUGGAUGGACCCGCGUAGCAUUAGCUAGUUGGUGAGGUAACGGCUCACCAAGGCAACGAUGCGUAGCCGACCUGAGAGGGUGAUCGGCCACACUGGGACUGAGACAUGGCCCAGACUCCUACGGGAGGCAGCAGUAGGGAAUCUUCCGCAAUGGACGAAAGUCUGACGGAGCAACGCCGCGUGAGUGAUGAAGGCUUUCGGGUCGUAAAACUCUGUUGUUAGGGAAGAACAAGUGCUAGUUGAAUAAGCUGGCACCUUGACGGUACCUAACCAGAAAGCCACGGCUAACUACGUGCCAGCAGCCGCCGCGG
RNAcentral lists this ribosomal RNA (515 nucleotides) under uncultured bacterium. RNAcentral's name for it is "partial 16S ribosomal RNA". It matches the Rfam family "Bacterial small subunit ribosomal RNA", at positions 28 to 523 of the family's 1533-position model. The record is from RNAcentral.